Molecule: long non-coding RNA, 3618 nt
Filed under: Callithrix jacchus (white-tufted-ear marmoset)
Lineage: Eukaryota; Metazoa; Chordata; Mammalia; Primates; Cebidae
Description: lncRNA (ENSCJAG00000078743.1)
Source: RNAcentral
UCCAUCUUCAUUGUCUAACACAUCAGUAAUCCCCCAAAAUGGAAGUGGUAGGACUCCUGACCCUCGAGAGGACUGCUUGUGCUCAGAUGUGUGUGCAAGGAAGGUUCUUCUGGAAAUAUCCCUCUCCUGACCAGGAGUCACUUGUCUAGGGAGAAGACUUGGUGAUGAGCAGGGAGAUAAAAGGACGCAGUGAUGAAUAAAACAGAGGGGAAAAUGAAAAUGCAACGCAAAGCCCCCUGGUUCUACAUACAAGCCAAGGUACAUCUGCCAAUAAAAGCAGGGAAAUGGGGAACAAAGGAUGUCAUAGCAACCUCAACGAACCCUGUUGUGCUACCGACUGCAGCGUCCCGGACAUCCACCAGGAAGCCUCCAGUGCCAAACCAGGUCUCUUCUUUAUUAAUAGACCAUCAUUUCUUUCUACUUUCUUGUGGUUUGAGUGGGGGAAAUACUGUGACAUUCAGAACGUAACAGGAAAGAUGAGUGUUUCACCAUCAAGACUUGGAACGCAGUGGAAAAUAAAAGAGAACUUUUGCAGGAAGCUAAUGGAGAUAUUGACAUGUGUGUCUGGAAAUCUAAACUUAGUAAAGUGUAAGGCAAGAACAGGCUUUCUCACUUUAUUUCUGUAUCUGAAAAGUUUCAGCGGCUGGUACCAUAUGAAUAUUUAUUAAUGCAUUGUGAAUCAGAACCUGUGAUUAUUACUCAAACUAUCUUUUUACCUUGCAAGCUUCAACUCAGAAGAAUAAAAACACAUCUGCUUUUGCUCUUCCCAUAUUUUAUUCAAUGUUUUAACAGCUUUGCUGUAAAUAUCUCAUCCAUUACGAUUUAGUUGUGACUAUAUCGGCUUCACGUCUCCUGUUUUAUUACUGUCAUCACAGUGAAACAACAUACUGUUAAUUCUGUUAACUAACAAGUUCAUUGUUUGAGCUAGUCAGCGAUCUCUCAUUUGUUGGGUCCACAUGUUAAAAGAGAAUUGGUUAUAAAUCAAAGAAGGGCCUGAGUGAGGCGUGUUCCCUUUGUUCAGAUGAGUGGGUCUCUAUUUGAGAUUGUCAUUUAAUAUGCUGUCAUGGAAGAAAUGACUAAAUCUGAAGAUAGGGCCAAAUCCAAUCGUAUUAGAUGAAGAGGCUGCACAACCCUCAAGGAAUUCAGCUCUAAAAUAUGCAAGCGUACUUAGAGCUGCAGAUUCUCUGCAUGAAACCUGUACUUCCUUUAUAAUUCCCAUUCAAUUUAGACCUUCCAAGCCUACCUUCUUCUAGAUCCUUACAGAGGAAACUUGCUAAUAUUUUUCCCUCUCAAUGUGAAAACUGAGUCAGUGAGGUCUGAUGGUUAAGAAUGUGGACUUCAAAUCCAGCAUGCUGGUUUGCUUUCCACUCUGCCAUUUCUGAGUUGUAGGGAUUUGAAUGAUUUAGUUAGCAACCUGAUCUGUAAAACGGGAGAGCAACAACACCUACCUCACUGGGUGGUUGUGACAAUUAAAUGAGGAAAUGUCUAUAUACUUCAGUAUCAGUCAGGACUCAGUAUAGGACAUCAGAAUCACUCCAGAUAUUUCAACCCUAUAAUGAGUUAAUUCAGGUAUCAGGUAUGUACCAGUUACCUACUACUAUGAUAAUACUGGGAAACACAUGCCUGAAUACACACACAAAUAUACAGCGGCUUAAAAUAAUGAGUUUGUAUUUAAAUCACAGACCUGCAAGUCAGAGACUUGGGCUACGCUGGGCUGUGCUGGGCUGGGCUGGGCAGUUCUUCUGGUGAUGCUAUGUUCGCUCUAUGUCUUGUUGGCUGUUGGCUGAUUACACCUGAGUUAAAUGUGUAAUUCUCCAUCGGGACAGCCUGGACUUUUUUGUGGCAGAGACAGAGGAACAAAAGGACCUCUUCUUGUGUGCGUGUGGUUGGUUAACAUCCCACUGGCCAAAGUGGGUUACAUGCUAGGUCCACAAGCCGUGGUUGGGAUAGAUAUAAUACCCCACACAGAGUGCCUGGUUCUUAGAAUUACCAACCAUCCUGGAUUUCCAGGGCUAGAGGAGUUUUCCAGGAAGCAGGAAUUUCAGUACAAAAACUGGGAACAUCAUAGACAAACUGGGACCAAUUGAUCACCCUGCUGGUGCUGCAAAUUUAUGCUGCAAGGGCACAGAGGCACUGAUGGCUGAAGAGUUGGGGCCUUAUAAAAUGGGCUGAGAAAUUACCUACCCAAUUGUUGGAAAAAUUGAAAGGGGGACUGUUUGUUUGCAGGUCAUGGCACUGUUGUUGUUGCUAUAAUGCUUCUCUUAUCAUUUUCACUGCCUCUCACCCACGAAACCAGCCACCAGACACUGGAACAUGGUGUCAGGCUGACAGGGAAUCUUUCUGUGAGUGCUUGCUUGCUCAUCUACUAUCAGUCACAAAUAACUCUCACCUUCCCAAUCUCCUAUGAGAAUAGUUAAUGAAGAGUCUAACUCCAACCCAGAACGCUGGCUACAGUGAAUCUGGAAAACAUGGUACCAUAUUAAUACGUCCAAAAAAGAGGGGAAAAUGAAGUGUGAGAAACUGGGUCCAAGCAUCUAAUGCAAAGAUUUAUGUGAACACCUGACUCAUGGAAGGCGCUAACAGUUGGGGUGGUAUUCAAAUUCAUUGAUAUCACCUGGUACUAAUUCUAUAGGUAUAUAGUAGCCAUGUCCCUGGCUCAGCUAAAAGUAUAGAUGGGAAGGUUACACUCUAAGAUAUCUGAUUCCUUAAAGGCUACUCUCAAAAGGAAAGAAUUAUUACAAAGAAAAUGAUUUUUUAUACAUUUCAACUACCAAGGACAAUUGGGAAAUUUUUUAAAAGGAACAAACCUUUUUGUACCUUGUCUUGCUUUAGAUAUCUAAAUAUCUAAAAACAAUUUUCCUUGUUUCAAUUCCUCUUGUUCUUCUGAAAAUUAUCUAGGUAUUCUUGGCCUCUGAAAGGUUUUGCUUAAAUUCUGGGUGAAGAUUUUUGUCAGUCUGCAUCACUGUAGCCCAGCUGACUUCCUAUUAUCACACACUUUAUGAAAUAAACAAGGAAGAAGAAUGAGUUCUGAGGGCAUUUGAAAUGGGUACCAUAGAUCUUGACCUAUAUCAGAAAGGGAAGGGAAGGCGAGGGAAGGGGAAGGGAGGGGAGGGGAGGGGAAAGGAAGACAGAGGGAGGGAGGGAGGAAAGAAGGGAGGAAAGGAAGGAAGGAAGGAAGGAAGGAAGGAAGGAAGGAAGGAAGGAAGGAAGGAAGGAAGGAAGGAAGGAAGGAAGGAACCUCAUCUUAAGAAGGUCAUUUGGGUCUACUGAUUUCAAAAUACAAAUGAGCUGAAUUUAUUAGAAACAAAUUCUGGUUCAUUAGAACUAAUUUUUCUAAGAUACAUUCCUUAAGGAAACAUACCUUAGUUGUGAUUCUAAAUCUGUCUCCUGAGAAAUCUCGGAUGCCUGCUGAUCAUUUUGAAUUCCUUGCCGCCCUCAACUUUCUGGCUGCAUGUAAGAAAUCAUUUUAAAUGAAUUGAAUAAAAUUCACAAGUGUUAUAUGCCAGCAAAUGAUGAACUCACAGGAAAUAUGACUCAAAUCCACUUUUUUCAUUUUGUUUUUUCUCAUAAUAAAUAGAAAUGAACAAAUGUGGCUUUAAUGACAUCUUGGAGUGAGAG